This 73-nucleotide transfer RNA is filed under the name Trichonephila clavata. It matches the Rfam family "tRNA". Rfam says of the family: Transfer RNA (tRNA) molecules are approximately 80 nucleotides in length. Their secondary structure includes four short double-helical elements and three loops (D, anti-codon, and T loops). Lineage: Eukaryota; Metazoa; Arthropoda; Arachnida; Araneae; Nephilidae. The record is from Rfam by way of RNAcentral.
GGUUCCGUAGUGUAGUGGUUAUCACGUUCGCUUUACACGCGAAAGGUCCUCGGUUCGAUCCCGGGCGGAACCA